UAGGGAAUAUUGGACAAUGGGCGCAAGCCUGAUCCAGCCAUGCCGCGUGAGUGAUGAAGGCCCUAGGGUUGUAAAGCUCUUUCACCGGUGAAGAUAAUGACGGUAACCGGAGAAGAAGCCCCGGCUAACUUCGUGCCAGCAGCCGCGGUAAUACGAAGGGGGCUAGCGUUGUUCGGAUUUACUGGGCGUAAAGCGCACGUAGGCGGACUUUUAAGUCAGGGGUGAAAUCCCGGGGCUCAACCCCGGAACUGCCUUUGAUACUGGAAGUCUUGAGUAUGGUAGAGGUGAGUGGAAUUCCGAGUGUAGAGGUGAAAUUCGUAGAUAUUCGGAGGAACACCAGUGGCGAAGGCGGCUCACUGGACCAUUACUGACGCUGAGGUGCGAAAGCGUGGGGAGCAAACA
RNAcentral lists this ribosomal RNA (402 nucleotides) under Pseudomonas sp. RNAcentral's name for it is "partial 16S ribosomal RNA". It matches the Rfam family "Bacterial small subunit ribosomal RNA", at positions 355 to 774 of the family's 1533-position model. RNAcentral also lists the same sequence under 2 other names. The record is from RNAcentral. Lineage: Bacteria; Pseudomonadati; Pseudomonadota; Gammaproteobacteria; Pseudomonadales; Pseudomonadaceae.